CUUUUUUUAUGACCCUCGACUUUUUACCCUCACCCUCGACUUUUUACCCUCACCCUCGACAUUGGACCCUCGACACUCGACCCUCGACAAAAACCUAAACUCCAAUAGUCGCAUCGACUUCAAAGCGAUGCUGGCAGCUGGCUUGUUAUUGUCGUGUCGGCUCCUCAUUGUAAUCGAAUAGUCGGUAAAUUGUAAUCGCCGCUCGUUGCAAGGAGAAAGAUAUGGCUUCUACAGGACUGUAUAUAGAUCCACACCACGAUCUUCUGUGUAUAAUGAACGAAUGUAACGUGUUUCAUUUAACGAAAAGGUGCGCGCGCGAAAGAAUUCUGAUCGAAAGCUUUUGGUGUGCAAUUAUUGGCAUAAUUUGCAGUUCCUGCGAUGUGAUCUGUGAAGAACAGCGCUGUUUGAAUCACCUCCGUGUCAGGUCAGUCUCAUGAAU
This is a non-coding RNA of Paramuricea clavata, 439 nucleotides long. The record is from the annotation of a GenBank genome assembly. NCBI's taxonomy places the organism in Eukaryota, Metazoa, Cnidaria, Anthozoa, Malacalcyonacea, Plexauridae.